Molecule: ribosomal RNA, 2138 nt
Filed under: Ditaxis biseriata
Lineage: Eukaryota; Metazoa; Arthropoda; Insecta; Neuroptera; Mantispidae
Description: SSU rRNA
Rfam family: Eukaryotic small subunit ribosomal RNA
Source: RNAcentral
CAAGAUUACGCAUGCAUGUCUCAGUACAAGCCAAAUUAAGGUGAAACCGCGAAAGGCUCAUUAUAUCAGUUAUGGUUCCUUAGAUCGUACCCACAUUUACUUGGAUAACUGUGGUAAUUCUAGAGCUAAUACAUGCAAACAGAGUUCCAACCAGAGAUGGAAGGAAUGCUUUUAUUAGAUCAAAACCAAUCGGUGUUGCAUUAUAUUUAUUUAAUAUAGGUAUUAAUGUUGCAUCGUUUUACUUGGUGACUCUGAAUAACUUUAAGCUGAUCGCACGGUCUCGUACCGGCGACGCAUCCUUCAAAUGUCUGCCUUAUCAACUGUCGAUGGUAGGUUCUGCGCCUACCAUGGUUGUAACGGGUAACGGGGAAUCAGGGUUCGAUUCCGGAGAGGGAGCCUGAGAAACGGCUACCACAUCCAAGGAAGGCAGCAGGCGCGCAAAUUACCCACUCCCGGCACGGGGAGGUAGUGACGAAAAAUAACGAUACGGGACUCAUCCGAGGCCCCGUAAUCGGAAUGAGUACACUUUAAAUCCUUUAACGAGGAUCAAUUGGAGGGCAAGUCUGGUGCCAGCAGCCGCGGUAAUUCCAGCUCCAAUAGCGUAUAUUAAAGUUGUUGCGGUUAAAAAGCUCGUAGUCGAAUCUGUGUCCCACACUGUCGGUUCACCGCUCGCGGUGUUUAACUGGCAUGUUAUGUGGGACGUCCUACCGGUGGAUGGUGUUUAAUUAUUGCUUCUUGUAAUCCUGUAUAGAAUUUUUACAAUUUUAUAUAGUUGCAAUUAGCAUAAAUAUAAUUAACCGUAAGUGUUUAGCCGUGAAGAACGGCGGCAACCAUCCUAUUGCAAUCCCGUCGCGGUGCUCUUAACUGAGUGUCGAGGUGGGCCGGUACGUUUACUUUGAACAAAUUAGAGUGCUUAAGGCAGGCUCAAAUUUCGCCUGAAUAUUGUGUGCAUGGAAUAAUGGAAUAGGACCUCGGUUCUAUUUUGUUGGUUUUCGGAACUCCGAGGUAAUGAUUAAUACGGACAGAUGGGGGCAUUCGUAUUGCGACGUUAGAGGUGAAAUUCUUGGAUCGUCGCAAGACGGACAGAAGCGAAAGCAUUUGCCAAAAAUGUUUUGAUUGAUCAAGAACGAAAGUUAGAGGUUCGAAGGCGAUCAGAUACCGCCCUAGUUCUAACCAUAAACGAUGCCAGCUAGCGAUCCGCCGAAGUUCCUCCGAUGACUCGGCGGGCAGCUUCCGGGAAACCAAAGCUUUUGGGUUCCGGGGGAAGUAUGGUUGCAAAGCUGAAACUUAAAGGAAUUGACGGAAGGGCACCACCAGGAGUGGAGCCUGCGGCUUAAUUUGACUCAACACGGGAAACCUCACCAGGCCCGGACACCGGAAGGAUUGACAGAUUGAGAGCUCUUUCUUGAUUCGGUGGGUGGUGGUGCAUGGCCGUUCUUAGUUGGUGGAGCGAUCUGUCUGGUUAAUUCCGAUAACGAACGAGACUCUAGCCUGCUAAAUAGACGUACUUUACCGGCAUCUCAAGGCCCACCGGCUGUUUGUUUUCCGUUAUGCUGUUACAUGUUAUACGUUUAAUAUUAUUCACUGGUAUAUUGAAGGUUUUAAAUGUAUGUUUACUUAACGGUGGCAUAUAUUAUAUUAUUGGAUGUAUAUUAUGUGUUUAUAUUUUAUGUUGCGUGUUGACACGUGCGGGCUACAGUUAUUUGGUGUGGUUUUUACUGCCGGCGUACAUUUAUAUCUUCUUAGAGGGACAGGCGGCUUCUAGCCGCACGAGAUUGAGCAAUAACAGGUCUGUGAUGCCCUUAGAUGUCCUGGGCCGCACGCGCGCUACACUGAAGGAAUCAGCGUGUCCUCCCUGGCCGAAAGGCCCGGGUAACCCGCUGAACCUCCUUCGUGCUAGGGAUUGGGGCUUGCAAUUGUUCCCCAUGAACGAGGAAUUCCCAGUAAGCGCGAGUCAUAAGCUCGCGUUGAUUACGUCCCUGCCCUUUGUACACACCGCCCGUCGCUACUACCGAUUGAAUGAUUUAGUGAGGUCUUCGGACUGGUACGCGGCAAUGUUUCUGACAUUACCUAUGUUGCUGGGAAGAUGACCAAACUUGAUCAUUUAGAGGAAGUAAAAGUCGUAACAGGUUUCCGUA